CUCAAAUGGGAAAGCCCGAGCUGCGUGUGCCUGCAAUGAAAUUAUAAAUCCACAUCCCGGAGCAAGCGAGCAGCAGGAGGCACCAGGAACCUCCAUCAGCAGAAGCGCUGGGCUGCAGCAAGGGAUGGGAUUGGGAGUGGAACCGACAAGGCUGGGAGAGCUGUUGGCGUUUCUCCUGACAAAAUCCUGCACAAAGAGAGCCAGUCCAGGUGAAACCACGGCGUUGGACCCAGCUGGUGUUCAGUGCUGAGCCCCGCUCCUUCCCCCUGAGCUCUGCCCUCAGUUUCCUCAGCUGUAAAGUGAAGAAGAUGCUGCCAAGCCCUGCUUGAAAAGCGCUGUCAGACGCAGCAAAUGUCACCCAAUGGCUCAGGUGGUGCUUGGUCAGCUGGCACACAGCACAUCAAGGGCACAGGACACUCUGCAUCAGCUGCCCACUGAGGCCAGGGACCAGCAAGGCUAAGGCCAGCCUGGACUGACCAGUGAUGAGUGGAGAGGAGCAGCAAUUCCACCCUGCAAGUCAGAGCCAAGGAGGGAAUUGGCCUCUGCCAUCCUCAAAGCCCAAUUAACCAAAUCACCACAGCUCAGGAGGCUUCGGCACGAGUGAGAGGAGCGAGAGGAGAACUCCAAAGAGGAAUAGCAAUGAGGAGCCCAGGCUGGCUGUGCUGGACGCUUCCCCAUGUGAGCAUCCCCAGGCUCCAAUGCCUCAGCAGAUCCCCAUGUCGGAGCAGCCCUGGACCUGCAGAACAGCACAUGGCAGAACGGCAGUGAGCCCCUAGACCAUGCCCCACACAAUGACAUGGUGGCUCCCGCUGCUGGCCCUGCGCGUG
RNAcentral lists this long non-coding RNA (827 nucleotides) under Serinus canaria (Common canary). RNAcentral describes it as "lncRNA (ENSSCAG00000002390.1)". The record is from RNAcentral. Lineage: Eukaryota; Metazoa; Chordata; Aves; Passeriformes; Fringillidae.